UUCCUAUGACAUGGUGACCAUAGUUAUUCAGCAAUACUGGUGUUGGUGGGCAGGAGGUGAGCAGAGAUUCUGCUAACACAAAUCCCUUCCCAGUGGCAAACUUUCUGGGAGAUGGGCUAGCAGAUAUAAAGGAGUGAUAUGAGACAAAAUUGUCCUUUAGUACAGAAGGCAUUUGAUUUUUCUAGCGAGCAACAUGUUCAUGUUGUGGAGAAAAGGCCAGAGAAACAGUGAUAAUCUGAAGGAAAGCCCUUUUCAUUGCCUGCUAGCAGUGGAUUGUCCCUCAUCUUUUCUUCGGGUGUUUGACCUUUGUGUCAAGAACCAUUAAUCUGUACAGAAACAAAAAUCAGCAAUUAAGAGGAAGUUUACCCAGAGACAGCCCCCAUGGAAAGGGAGCAUCAAGGACAGGAAUUAGCUUUGGUGAAUGUUAACAUCAUGGAUGUCUGCUGAAGAAGCCACAGGAGCUGCAUGUCAAGGUAUCAGUGUCUGCUUGGUACAGGAGGUGUAAAUUGGUUCCUGCAACGCCCAGCGGGGAGUAUCUGAUCGGAUAACAUCUGGGAUUUAGUGAGAAAGGGAAUCUUUUCUCCAGAAAGACGGAAGGAAAGGAAACCGGGAAUGCCAAGAAAUAAAUGUCUGUAUCUGAACUCUGCAGUAAUUUGUGGCUGUGCCGAAACCACCCAGCAAAUUGGUGAUGAAGGGAACAAAGAGCAGCUGAG
This is a long non-coding RNA of Passer domesticus (house sparrow), 713 nucleotides long. RefSeq lists it as uncharacterized. NCBI's taxonomy places the organism in Eukaryota, Metazoa, Chordata, Aves, Passeriformes, Passeridae. The transcript has 3 exons. The record is from RefSeq and is a predicted model, not a curated record.